UGCCUUCGGGAACUCUGAGACAGGUGCUGCAUGGCUGUCGUCAGCUCGUGUUGUGAAAUGUUGGGUUAAGUCCCGCAACGAGCGCAACCCUUAUCCUUUGUUGCCAGCGGUUCGGCCGGGAACUCAAAGGAGACUGCCGGUGAUAAACCGGAGGAAGGUGGGGAUGACGUCAAGUCAUCAUGGCCCUUACGACCAGGGCUACACACGUGCUACAAUGGCGCAUACAAAGAGAAGCGACCUCGCGAGAGCAAGCGGACCUCAUAAAGUGCGUCGUAGUCCGGAUUGGAGUCUGCAACUCGACUCCAUGAAGUCGGAAUCGCUAGUAAUCGUGGAUCAGAAUGCCACGGUGAAUACGUUCCCGGGCCUUGUACACACCGCCCGUCACACCAUGGGAGUGGGUUGCAAAAGAAGUAGGUAGCUUAACCUUCGGGAGGGCGCUUACCACUUUGUGAUUCAUGACUGGGGUGAAGUCGUAACAAGGUAACCGUAGGGGAACCUGCGGUUGGAUCACCUCCUUA
RNAcentral lists this ribosomal RNA (518 nucleotides) under Cronobacter sakazakii. RNAcentral describes it as "bacterial SSU rRNA". It matches the Rfam family "Bacterial small subunit ribosomal RNA", at positions 1014 to 1533 of the family's 1533-position model. The record is from RNAcentral. Lineage: Bacteria; Pseudomonadati; Pseudomonadota; Gammaproteobacteria; Enterobacterales; Enterobacteriaceae.